UACGGAGGGUGCUAGCGUUGUUCGGAAUUACUGGGCGUAAAGGGCGCGCAGGCGGCUGCUCAAGUCAGGCGUGAAAGGCCUGGGCUCAACCCGGGAAUUGCGCUUGAGACUGAGCUGGCUUGAGUGCGGGAGAGGAUGGUGGAAUUCCCAGUGUAGAGGUGAAAUUCGUAGAUAUUGGGAAGAACACCGGUGGCGAAGGCGGCCAUCUGGACCGUAACUGACGCUGAGGCGCGAAAGCGUGGGGAGCAAACAGG
Molecule: ribosomal RNA, 254 nt
Filed under: uncultured bacterium
Lineage: Bacteria
Description: partial 16S ribosomal RNA
Rfam family: Bacterial small subunit ribosomal RNA
Source: RNAcentral